Molecule: ribosomal RNA, 482 nt
Filed under: uncultured bacterium
Lineage: Bacteria
Description: partial 16S ribosomal RNA
Rfam family: Bacterial small subunit ribosomal RNA
Source: RNAcentral
AUUGAACGCUGGCGGCAUGAUUUACACAUGCAAGUCGAACGGUAACAGGCCGCGAGGUGCUGACGAGUGGCGAACGGGUGAGUAAUGCAUCGGAACGUGCCCAGUCGUGGGGGAUAACUACUCGAAAGAGUAGCUAAUACCGCAUACGAUCUAUGGAUGAAAGCGGGGGACCGUAAGGCCUCGCGCGAUUGGAGCGGCCGAUGUCAGAUUAGGUAGUUGGUGGGGUAAAGGCUCACCAAGCCAACGAUCUGUAGCUGGUCUGAGAGGACGACCAGCCACACUGGGACUGAGACACGGCCCAGACUCCUACGGGAGGCAGCAGUGGGGAAUUUUGGACAAUGGGCGCAAGCCUGAUCCAGCAAUGCCGCGUGCAGGAAGAAGGCCUUCGGGUUGUAAACUGCUUUUGUACGGAACGAAACGGCUCUGGUUAAUACCCGGGGCUAAUGACGGUACCGUAAGAAUAAGCACCGGCUAACUACGUG